Molecule: long non-coding RNA, 481 nt
Filed under: Hordeum vulgare
Lineage: Eukaryota; Viridiplantae; Streptophyta; Magnoliopsida; Poales; Poaceae
Description: long non-coding RNA (HVUL_LNC005409)
Source: RNAcentral
CCGUGGAGUAAACACACCAUGCCAACAUGUCUGUCAGUUUCACACAACAUGACAGUGACUCUAGUCCUGACAUUUUUUACAUCCUAAAACUCAUUAUUCACCAUGUUAUGGAUAGGGUAUGCAUUCUGAAGAAUAAAAGCUGUAUAUAAGAAGGAACGGUGGAUACACUUGAGCAGAUAAGAGAAUAUGGAAGUGCUCAGAGAGCAUGUCAAUACAAACCCAAACAUAAACCAGACUGAUUCUUCAUUUUAACCAGAUUCACUCCCUGUAAGUUCACCAAUUAGUUACUUUCCAUGGGAGCAUGGAAGUGGAACUACAUCCAUCUUACUUAGAUCUUCAGUGUAUCAGCAAUUCUUGUUCCCCGGCCUCCAGCGUAAUGUUCAUGGUGCAACACUAACAAGUCCUUGGCCUUCAUUUUCCUUGUACCGUGCCGGUUGCUCCUCACUUAACAGAUGAGCUAUCGGCCCAAUCUCUUGCUCGG